UUUAUCUUCCUAGUGAGAGAUAAGAAGUAACUUUAUCUUCAUAGCAAAGACAUAAAGAUGAUGUAUAGUACUAAUAACUCACCCUGCUCAUACAGAAACAGUAAUCGGUCGAGGAGCACCAAAGAUUCCACCACUGGCGCCAACAACAACCUCAUGACAUCUACCAGUAACCAAACUCUGGGACACUCAACACGUCAAUGCUCCUCUGAACCAUGAAGACUAAAACAUACAGUCUAGCUUUUGGAUUUUUAGUACUGUACUGUAAACUGAAACAUGGGACAUAAAAUAUAUCUUUUGUAA
This is a long non-coding RNA of Homarus americanus (American lobster), 300 nucleotides long. RefSeq lists it as uncharacterized. Lineage: Eukaryota; Metazoa; Arthropoda; Malacostraca; Decapoda; Nephropidae. The transcript is spliced from 2 exons. The record is from RefSeq and is a predicted model, not a curated record.